Molecule: ribosomal RNA, 251 nt
Filed under: uncultured prokaryote
Description: partial 16S rRNA
Rfam family: Bacterial small subunit ribosomal RNA
Source: RNAcentral
ACGGAGGGUGCAAGCGUUGUUCGGAUUCACUGGGUAUAAAGGGUGCGUAGGCGGCUCGAUAAGUCAGGGGUGAAAUAUUUCGGCUCAACCGUCAAACUGCCUCUGAAACUGCCGCGCUUGAGGUCGGAAGAGGAAGGUGGAAUGCCUGGUGUAGCGGUGAAAUGCGUAAAUAUGUGGAGGAACACCGAUGGCGAAGGCAGCCUUCUGGGACGAAUCUGACGCUGAGGCACGAAAGCGUGGGGAGCAAACGG